UCCUAGCCCCGAUAGAGGCGGUAUCCUUUUUUUGGGUGAUUUUUCUUCACCCGAAAAAAGAUAUAGCCGAAAGCGGGAUCAGCU
This 84-nucleotide small RNA is filed under the name Flavobacterium sp. ov086. RNAcentral describes it as "Flavo-1 RNA". It matches the Rfam family "Flavo-1 RNA". The record is from RNAcentral. Lineage: Bacteria; Pseudomonadati; Bacteroidota; Flavobacteriia; Flavobacteriales; Flavobacteriaceae.